Non-coding RNA from Salvelinus sp. IW2-2015, 803 nucleotides. NCBI's taxonomy places the organism in Eukaryota, Metazoa, Chordata, Actinopteri, Salmoniformes, Salmonidae. The record is from RefSeq and is a predicted model, not a curated record.
ACCGUUUCCUCAGCCUAGACUACCUCUCCCUUCAAUAAGUCAGCAGUAAGUACCGUUUCCUCAGCCUAGACUACCUCUCCCUCCAAUAAGUCAGCAGUAUGUACCGUUUCCUCAGCCUAGACUACCUCUCCCUUCAAUAAGUCAGCACAGAUGUACAUUGCCUCGGUCCUCCAGGACCCCAGCUUAGACGAGCUGGGUUCGGCUGGCAGCGGGGUCAGCGAGGGUUCGCAGGACGAGGAGAUCAUCCAAGUGGGGAACAGCCUCAAUGAGGCCGACUUCCAGAGUGGCGAGGACAGUCUUCUCGCUAACGAGGUGCGGCACUGACGUCAGGGGACGCCGGAGACGGCUGUCAGGGUGGAGACGGAGGACGGGGAGAGAGAAGAUGAGACUGAGAUGGCAGAAACUAAAGUUUAAUUUCACCCGAGUGGAUGGAUGCACUGACCUAGUGUGUUAAGCUACAGAGCUGAAACGGACGGACACAGCUUUAAAAGACAUGGAUAGACCACUAACCUUGAAGUCCUGAACAGACUAUUACAUUGUCUACACACCACACACCACACACCACACCACACACACCACACACACACACACAGUGUGUCUACUAAAGGACGGGUAACUCUCCCUUACAACUAUUGAUCUAGCGCUGACUGUGAAGGAGAGAUCUUUCCUUCCCAUAAUCCUUUGCCUGUUCUGCCUGCACCCCUAAUCGUCUCUGUGCCCUAGAGGCUUCGUCACAAUAAGCAGCCUAAUAUGAGAAGAUGAAGAAGAGGAGGAGGAGGAAUGUCUGUCAGCAUACAGCACAU